AGAGUUUGAUCCUGGCUCAGGACGAACGCUGGCGGCGUGCCUAACACAUGCAAGUCGAACGGAACUGUUUUGAAAGAUUUCUUCGGAAUGAAUUUGAUUUAGUUUAGUGGCGGACGGGUGAGUAACGCGUGAGUAACCUGCCUUCAAGAGGGGGAUAACAUUCUGAAAAGAAUGCUAAUACCGCAUGACAUAUCGGAAUCACAUGAUUUUGAUAUCAAAGAUUUUAUCGCUUGAAGAUGGACUCGCGUCCGAUUAGUUAGUUGGUGAGGUAACGGCUCACCAAGACCGCGAUCAGUAGCCGGUCUGAGAGGAUGAACGGCCACAUUGGAACUGAGACACGGUCCAAACUCCUACGGGAGGCAGCAGUGGGGAAUAUUGCACAAUGGGGGAAACCCUGAUGCAGCAACGCCGCGUGAGUGAAGAAGUAUCUCGGUAUGUAAAGCUCUAUCAGCAGGGAAGAAAAUGACGGUACCUGACUAAGAAGCCCCGGCUAACUACGUGCCAGCAGCCGCGGUAAUACGUAGGGGGCAAGCGUUGUCCGGAUUUACUGGGUGUAAAGGGUGCGUAGGCGGAUUGGCAAGUCAGAAGUGAAAUCCAUGGGCUUAACCCAUGAACUGCUUUUGAAACUGUUAGUCUUGAGUAAAGUAGAGGUAGGCGGAAUUCCCGGUGUAGCGGUGAAAUGCGUAGAGAUCGGGAGGAACACCAGUGGCGAAGGCGGCCUACUGGGCUUUAACUGACGCUGAGGCACGAAAGUGUGGGUAGCAAACAGGAUUAGAUACCCUGGUAGU
Molecule: ribosomal RNA, 788 nt
Filed under: uncultured bacterium
Lineage: Bacteria
Description: bacterial SSU rRNA
Rfam family: Bacterial small subunit ribosomal RNA
Source: RNAcentral